GGCCACCAGCAGUGACACCAUGUGACCGGCACGGCUCACUGACACGCAGCUUUGGUUAAAGAGCGGGCGCACAGGAGGGGAGGAGACCGCGCGCGGGACGGGGAGGAAUGGCCUGUCCGCGUUAAACCAUCACAAGCCAUGGUUGCGGAAGGGCCACGCGUCCCCCAGUAGGAGAAUGACUCCGAUUCGUGACCCUCAGCGCCGGUGCAUGUCGAUGUAAGUGCGAGGCCGGCGAGCAGAGUGUGAGUGGGGGUUGGUGGUGAGGGGAGAUUCUGAUGCAAUCGGCCCGGAAAGGAGGAGAGCUAGGCGAGCGCGGACUGGGGCAGCCACGCCACUCCGCCUGAAGGUCGCCAGGAGCCUCCGCCCUUCACCUUCCUCGGAAAUCCGCCAGGCCACGCCAAGCUCCCUGCCCAGCCCUCACUGGCGGGGGCCACAUUUUCCCGGCCUCCGCAGCCAGACCUUGACACAAAGGACAUCAAACUGCCGAGGGUAAAAACCCCGGAAGGGCGGACACCUCCACAUCGCCUUUUGCCACCUUUCCCUUUAUUUCCGGAGAUAUUUAUUGAGUGUCUACUGUGUGCCAGGCACUAUAUCUAUGUGCAUAGAAAAACCCUGGAAGGCCAUACAACAAUAUAUAUAGAGUGAUCGUCUCUGCUUGCUGAGCUAACAGGUG
RNAcentral lists this long non-coding RNA (673 nucleotides) under Pan troglodytes (chimpanzee). RNAcentral's name for it is "long non-coding RNA NONPTRT003492". The record is from RNAcentral. Lineage: Eukaryota; Metazoa; Chordata; Mammalia; Primates; Hominidae.